UGUUUCGGCCAGCUCCACCCAGACAGAGAGCAGGAUAUAGCCCGCAAUUACGAUCAACGGCAUGUUUCCACUCCAAGCCAGAGCCCUUUGUUUUAGUUUCCCGCUAGCUUUUUUAACACUGUCUCCUCUUGAGUAAACACUACAAACGGUUGGGUGUCACAUCAAUCAAGACUGUGUUCACUGCUGAUCAGCUUGUGAAAGCACAUGGCGUCAUGCAAGCUGCAUUUGUGUGUCCCUGGAACAAUGAGUAAUACAAGUCUCGGGGGUUUUGAGAAGGGAUUGCCUCAUAGCGUGUAUGUUCUGCCUCCUCCUUCCUCAGCCACGCCUGUGAGAACACAGAAAAGAACAUGUACAUGUUCGCUCCGCAGCCUCACGAGAGCACAAACAGACCGUCUCUGUGGCCGAGGGCACCGUCCAGGCAUCAUGUGGUACCCUGUGUGGACAGCUUUUUGAGGCUUUAGUUCUGUAACUAGCCUCGGGGGAAGCGGUGACCAGCCGCUGUCAGAGUAUCCAGGAUUAGGCCGUCUUCUUGAGGCUUGCGGAUGACAGCGGUACCCAUCUCUUCACCACUGGCAUCGCCGGAGGAACAUCAUCAAGGUGAACGCCAGAUAAAACCAAAUUAUUGAUCAAAGCUUCUGUAUCUUGUUACG
Molecule: non-coding RNA, 650 nt
Organism: Pimephales promelas (fathead minnow)
Lineage: Eukaryota; Metazoa; Chordata; Actinopteri; Cypriniformes; Leuciscidae
Source: RefSeq, a predicted model, not a curated record